Molecule: long non-coding RNA, 1040 nt
Filed under: Callithrix jacchus (white-tufted-ear marmoset)
Lineage: Eukaryota; Metazoa; Chordata; Mammalia; Primates; Cebidae
Description: lncRNA (ENSCJAG00000072092.1)
Source: RNAcentral
UUGCCUCCUUUCUCUUUUCUCCUUGAUUUUCCCUAGGAAUUCACACUUUUCUUCAGUUUUUAUGUAAAACAACUCUUCCCUCACUAGGUAACUGACAGCUAAUUCCCAGAACAAUGUGAGGUGGCAAGUCAGGGCUGGGAACUGCACCCACCUCUUAUUCAAAACACUAAUAAAAGCACUCCUUCCAGAUAAAGAUAAUUUUCUACUUAUCAGAAGGGCUCAUGAGUAAAUAAGUUGGCCUCCAGCUGCAUAUUAGUGUGUGGGUAAGAGUCAGUAUAUGUGUCUGCGUUGGGGAGGCUUACUAAGAUUCUUAAUGAAGUGUGAAACUAUUUGCAAAAGAUCAAGGAAAGACAUUAUUAACUGAACCUCAACUGGCAGCUACCGAGAUGUGAAGAGAUUUAUUUCUUAGGAUGAUCAGAGCUGGAGCAGCCAUCUUGCACCCAGAGAGCAAAGCCAAGCUGAGAUGGCAGAGCAACAAGACACAGGGUGCCCGGGUGCCCAGUGCCACAAAGCUGCUGUACCCAGCCUAUUCUCUUCAUGUUCAGACUGUUGGAAGAGAGAAAGAUAACUAUAAUUGGGACUGAGGGAUAGAAAUGUCUCCUACCAAAAUCGUGAAGUUCAUAAGUAGCACAAUUGAAAAGAAAGCCAACCUAGCUUCUAAAAUCUGCACCUGGAUCCUUUCUGCAUUGCCAACUGCCAACUGGCGAUUGAGAUGGUGACACUGACGGUCAAGAGGCUGUGGAAGAUGACAAGAAGAAGAAGGUGGGGUGCAGGGAAUGUGCAGGCUUCUGUUAGACCUUCCACCACCUUCUUGGGACUUGGGCUUUUAAAAUAAUGUAGAAGCUAAAAACAAACGGCAACUCAUGAGCGCCCUGAAGCAAAUUUCCAUUUCUUUAUGAUUCUACCCUACCCAGGUCACUUUGUGUUUGUAAAAAGCAUCAUGAUCACUUGCAAUACUGUCUGAUUAGAAGCUGAAUCUAUUUCCCUUUGCAAAUAUGAAGUUUCCCAUAUAUGAAAAUGUUAUAGAAAAUGACCUGUAA